Long non-coding RNA from Athene cunicularia (burrowing owl), 617 nucleotides. RefSeq lists it as uncharacterized. The record is from RefSeq and is a predicted model, not a curated record. The transcript is spliced from 3 exons. Lineage: Eukaryota; Metazoa; Chordata; Aves; Strigiformes; Strigidae.
GGGAACUCCAACGAGCGCAGGCGUGAAAAAUUCACAUGAAACCUUCUAGGAGGGACCAGCAGCACCCACUGGUGUACAGAGCUACAAGGGCUCAGGAUGCUGGUGGCACCGAUGGGACGUGCUCAGCCAGUGAUGCCCAGUGUUGUAAAAGGAGCCUCCAGCAGGAUUUGGGGGCGCUUUAACAGCCCACCGUGGGGGUUUUAUCCCCCCUGCAACCCAGGUUUGCAAAGCCCCAAGCAGGGCAAAGGAUUCCAGUAAUGUCCAGCCACAACUCCAGAGCAUUUCCAACCCUGCAGCCUUUGAGCACAUGCAACUUGAGCCCAUCUUUCUCCAAAGCCAACGAUAGUUUUGCUCUUAAGUCCAGCAGGAGCCAGGUCAGACCUUAAUUUUAACCCAGAGGAUAAUUCAUUCCGCUCAAAAAUUCAAUUCAGAUGAACACUUAAGUGCUUAAAAUUUGGGUUUGUUCCUGAUUUAUGCUCCUGACAGUGCUGUAUCCCUGGUGCUUGCUCUGACAAGAUCCCACCGUGUUAUUAAACACCUCCUUGGAUCCAUUCCCAGCACCAGAGGAGGGUCCUACAUCCCCCAAAUGUCUUAUCUCCCUGUGUCCAGCUCUGGUC